CGGAGGCUUAAAAGGGAGUCAGGGUCCACAUCACUGCCCCAUCAUUGCAGGGACGUGGAGCUGGUGGGAUCACACCAUGGCCUGGGUCCCUCUCCUCCUCGCGGUGCUCGCCCACACCUCAGGUUCCCUGGUCCAGGCAGCGCUGACUCAGCCGCCCUCAUUGUCUCACAAGGUGGGAGACACCGUCAAGAUCCCCUGCUCUGGGAGCAGCUACAACUGGUAUGGCUGGUACCAGCAGAAGGUCCCUGGCAGUGCCCUUGUCACUGUGAUCUAUGCUAAUAGCAACAGACCCUUGAACAUACCUUCGCGAUUCUCUGGAUCCUUGUUGGACUCCAAGGCCACAUUAACCAUCACUGGGGUCCAAGCCGAGGACGAGGCUGUCUAUUUCUGUAGUGGCUGGGAGAGCAGCAGUGGUCGUUUUAUAUUCGGGGCUGGGACCCGUGUGACCAUCAAAGGUGAGUAG
This is a non-coding RNA of Pseudopipra pipra, 463 nucleotides long. The record is from the annotation of a RefSeq genome assembly. NCBI's taxonomy places the organism in Eukaryota, Metazoa, Chordata, Aves, Passeriformes, Pipridae.